Molecule: unclassified non-coding RNA, 430 nt
Filed under: soil metagenome
Description: partial contains 5.8S ribosomal RNA, internal transcribed spacer 2, and large subunit ribosomal RNA
Rfam family: 5.8S ribosomal RNA (bases 1-120)
Source: RNAcentral
GAUGAAGAACGCAGCGAAAUGCGAUACGUAAUGUGAAUUGCAGAAUUCAGUGAAUCAUCGAAUCUUUGAACGCAUAUUGCGCUCUCUGGUAUUCCGGAGAGCAUGCUUGUUUGAGUAUCGGUAAACACCUCAACUCCCUUUUCUUUUUUGAAAUUGGAGCUGGACUUGAGUGAUCCCAACGCUUUCUUCCAAGAAAGUGGCGGGUUGCUUGAAAUGCAGGUGCAGCUGAACUUUUCUCUGAGCUAUAAGCAUAUCUAUUUAGUCUGCCUAAAAAACAGAUUAUUACCUUUGCUGCAGCUAACAUAAAGGAGACUAGUUCUUGUGCUGACUGAUGCAGGAUUCACAGAGACAGCUUCGGCUGACUUUGUAAACUCGAUCUCAAAUCAAGUAAGACUACCCGCUGAACUUAAGCAUAUCAAUAAGCGGAGGA